GAUGAAGAACGUAGCGAAAUGCGAUACGUAAUGUGAAUUGCAGAAUUCAGUGAAUCAUCGAGUCUUUGAACGCACAUUGCGCCCCUGGUAUUCCGGGGGGCAUGCCUGUCCGAGCGUCAUUGCUGCCCUCAAGCACGGCUUGUGUGUUGGGCCUCCGCCCCCCGGCUCCCGGGGGGCGGGCCCGAAAGGCAGCGGCGGCACCGCGUCCGGUCCUCGAGCGUAUGGGGCUUCGUCACCCGCUCCGUAGGCCCGGCCGGCGCCCGCCGGCGACCCCCCUCAAUCUUUCCAGGUUGACCUCGGAUCAGGUAGGGAUACCCGCUGAACUUAAGCAUAUCAAUAAGCGGAAGA
RNAcentral lists this unclassified non-coding RNA (348 nucleotides) under soil metagenome. RNAcentral's name for it is "partial contains 5.8S ribosomal RNA, internal transcribed spacer 2, and large subunit ribosomal RNA". The stretch from base 1 to 119 matches the Rfam family "5.8S ribosomal RNA", at positions 35 to 154 of the family's 154-position model. The record is from RNAcentral.